RNAcentral lists this ribosomal RNA (233 nucleotides) under uncultured bacterium. Its description in RNAcentral is "partial 16S ribosomal RNA". It matches the Rfam family "Bacterial small subunit ribosomal RNA", at positions 100 to 334 of the family's 1533-position model. The record is from RNAcentral.
CGGGACGGGUGAGUAAUGUCUGGGAAACUGCCUGAUGGAGGGGGAUAACUACUGGAAACGGUAGCUAAUACCGCAUAACGUCGCAAGACCAAAGAGGGGGACCUUAGGGCCUCUUGCCAUCGGAUGUGCCCAGAUGAGAUUAGCUAGUAGGUGGGGUAACGGCUCACCUAGGCGACGAUCCCUAGCUGGUCUGAGAGGAUGACCAGCCACACUGGAACUGAGACACGGUCCAG